RNAcentral lists this ribosomal RNA (437 nucleotides) under uncultured bacterium. Its description in RNAcentral is "bacterial SSU rRNA". It matches the Rfam family "Bacterial small subunit ribosomal RNA", at positions 30 to 460 of the family's 1533-position model. The record is from RNAcentral.
AUUGAACGCUGGCGGCAUGCCUUACACAUGCAAGUCGAACGGCAGCACGGGAGCUUGCUCCUGGUGGCGAGUGGCGAACGGGCGAGUAAUACAUCGGAACGUACCCUGAAGUGGGGGAUAACGUAGCGAAAGUUACGCUAAUACCGCAUAUUCUGUGAGCAGGAAAGAGGGGGAUCGCAAGACCUCUUGCUUUAGGAGCGGCCGAUGUCGGAUUAGCUAGUUGGUGAGGUAAAGGCUCACCAAGGCGACGAUCCGUAGCGGGUCUGAGAGGAUGAUCCGCCACACUGGGACUGAGACACGGCCCAGACUCCUACGGGAGGCAGCAGUGGGGAAUUUUGGACAAUGGGCGCAAGCCUGAUCCAGCCAUGCCGCGUGAGUGAAGAAGGGCCUCGGUUGGUUAAAGGUACGUCUUUCGGUUCGGGGUAAGGAAAGUUAAG